UCUCCGUUGGUGAACCAGCGGAGGGAUCAUUACUGGAAUCGCAAGAUCCAACAGCCCGGGGACCCUACCCACACGUUGUCUCGGCGGCAGCCCGGCCCCGGCGCCGGGCGUUGCGCCCCCCGGCGACCCCCUACCCUGUCUCUGCGGCGUAGCAUCCCAGAGACCCAGAAAACAAGUCAAAACUUUCAACAACGGAUCUCUUGGCUCUA
Molecule: unclassified non-coding RNA, 209 nt
Filed under: plant metagenome
Description: partial contains small subunit ribosomal RNA, internal transcribed spacer 1, and 5.8S ribosomal RNA
Source: RNAcentral